This 726-nucleotide ribosomal RNA is filed under the name fungal sp. Its description in RNAcentral is "eukaryotic LSU rRNA". The stretch from base 455 to 726 matches the Rfam family "Eukaryotic large subunit ribosomal RNA", at positions 1 to 279 of the family's 3401-position model. The record is from RNAcentral. Lineage: Eukaryota; Fungi.
CAUUACAGAGUUGCAAAACUCCCAACCCUUUGUGAACGUACUGAAAAGUUGCUUCGGCGGGAGGCUCCUCAGGGAGCGGACCGCCGGAGGAAUCCAAACUCUUGUUUUUUUGGCAUCUCUGAGUAGCUUAUAAAUAAGUUAAAACUUUCAACAACGGAUCUCUUGGUUCUGGCAUCGAUGAAGAACGCAGCGAAAUGCGAUACGUAAUGUGAAUUGCAGAAUUCAGUGAAUCAUCGAAUCUUUGAACGCACAUUGCGCCCGCCAGUAUUCUGGCGGGCAUGCCUGUUCGAGCGUCAUUUCAACCAUCAAGCCCCAGGCUUGUGUUGGAGCCCUGCGGCUGCCGCAGCCUCCUAAAAGCAGUGGCGGGCUCGCUAUCACACCGAGUGCAGUAGUUUACUCUUCGCUCAGGGCGUGUGGCGGGUUCCAGCCGUUAAACCCCCUACUUUUACAAGGUUGACCUCGGAUCAGGUAGGAAUACCCGCUGAACUUAAGCAUAUCAAUAAGCGGAGGAAAAGAAACCAACAGGGAUUGCCCUAGUAACGGCGAGUGAAGCGGCAACAGCUCAAAUUUGAAAUCUGGCUCCGGCCCGAGUUGUAAUUUGCAGAGGAAGCUUCUGGUGAUAUACUGUCUAAGUCCCCUGGAACGGGGCGCCACAGUGGGUGAGAGCCCCAUAUGACGGAUGUAGAUCCUGUGUGAAGCUCCUUCGACGAGUCGAGUAGUUUGGGA